CCCUUAGAUGUUCUGGGCCGCACACGCGCUACACUGAAGGAGGCAGCGUGUACUCCUGGAUCGAAAGAUUUGGGUAACCCGCGAAUCUCCUUCGUGCUAGGGAUUGAGGUUUGCAAUUAUCCUUCAUGAACGAGGAAUUCCCAGUAAGUGCAAGUCAUAAGCUUGCGCUGACUACGUCCCUGCCCUUUGUACACACCGCCCGUCGCUACUACCGAUUGAAUGAUUUAGUGAGGACUUCGGACUGGGACCAAUGCGGCUUUCGGGCUGCGUCGGUAUUCUGGAAAGAUGUCCAAACUGUAUCAUUUAGAGGAAGUAAAAGUCGUANCA
Molecule: ribosomal RNA, 327 nt
Filed under: uncultured eukaryote
Lineage: Eukaryota
Description: partial 18S ribosomal RNA
Rfam family: Eukaryotic small subunit ribosomal RNA
Source: RNAcentral